RNAcentral lists this long non-coding RNA (627 nucleotides) under Brassica napus (rape). RNAcentral describes it as "long non-coding RNA (BNAP_LNC025764)". Lineage: Eukaryota; Viridiplantae; Streptophyta; Magnoliopsida; Brassicales; Brassicaceae. The record is from RNAcentral.
GGCGGGUAAACCGGUGGCCUCACCGGUGGCUUAGCUGGAGGGGAGACUGGUGGUUUGGUUGGAGGAGAGACCGGAGGCUUAACCGGGGCUUUGGUCGGGGGCUUAACAGGGGCUUUGGUCGGAGGGUAAACCGGGGGCUUAACCGGAGGUUUGGCCGGUGGUGAAACUGGUGGCUUUACUGGAGGUUUGGCCGGUGGUGAAACUGGUGGCUUAACCGGAGGUUUGACUGGGGGCUUAACUGGAGCUUUGGUCGGAGGGUAAACUGGAGGUUUAACAGGAGGUUUUGCUGGUGGGGAAACUGGUGGCUUAACCGGAGGUUUGACUGGGGGCUUAACCGGAGCUUUGGUCGGAGGGUAAACCGGAGGUUUAACAGGAGGUUUUGCUGGUGGGGAAACUGGUGCCUUAACCGGAGGUUUAGUUGGGGGCUUAACCGGGGAUUUGGUUGGAGGGUAAACUGGAGUCUUAACCGGAGGUUUAGAAGGUGGAGAAACCGGCGGCUUGACAGGGGCUUUUGCCGGUGGGUGAGGGUGAGGGUGGUGGUGAUGGGGAGGAUGUGGGUGGUGGUGGCCGUGGUGGUAAGGAGAUGGAGCAGGGGCAGAGGAAGGCGUUUGGGUCACAUGGUUCACU